AGAAACUACCUAACAGUUUCAAUCCAGAAAUGCAAGCAGACAAGUCUCAUCCUGGCUAAAGCACGAAGGCAAAUCCAGGGACUUUAUCCCUGAGAUCUGGUAAGGCAAGGUAGUCUCAGUUCCUUCUAGGGACCCCUAUUUGUUUUCACCUACUGGGAAGAAGCCAAUCCAAUGUAAAGACAAAAAGCAGGCAACAAUUCCGUUGGGAAAGUUGGAGGUAAGUGGUGUACUACGCUAUCCUGUCAAGGAUAAGGGCUAGCACGCGUUAAUGCUCAAAUCACUAUAGUACUUUCUCCAGAAUUGUGCUUUGCCUAACUCCACACUCAAUAAUGAACUCAAUAAUGUUUGAAAUAUCAUUUUUUAGGAAUUAAUAAAUUUACAAAAAAGCUUCGGAGUCCAUAUGCAAUUGAUAACAAUGAACUACUUGACUUCCUUUCCAGAGUUCCUUCAGAUGUACAAGUGGUGCAAUAUCAAGAACUGAAACCAGAUCAUUCUCAUAGCCCGUAUAAAAGGAAGAAAAACAACCUUGGUUAGUCUGUUCCCAGCACCGAGGAGACCAGCAUGUUUGGGAAGAUAAAAGAAAAAAAAAUCGUCGGGCUACGCAGCAUUUCCUCUCUUUCUGCUUUUUAUUUAUUUUACCUUUUUAUCAGGGUCAAGAACAUUUGUAAAUAGUGUACAAAAGGCAUAUGUCUUUGAAAAUAUACUUCUCCUGUACAGACUCAACUUGAUAAGGGAUUUUAGC
Molecule: long non-coding RNA, 742 nt
Filed under: Rattus norvegicus (Norway rat)
Lineage: Eukaryota; Metazoa; Chordata; Mammalia; Rodentia; Muridae
Description: long non-coding RNA NONRATT014876
Source: RNAcentral